RNAcentral lists this ribosomal RNA (496 nucleotides) under uncultured bacterium. RNAcentral describes it as "bacterial SSU rRNA". It matches the Rfam family "Bacterial small subunit ribosomal RNA", at positions 28 to 523 of the family's 1533-position model. The record is from RNAcentral.
GAUGAACGCUAGCGGCAGGCUUAACACAUGCAAGUCGAGGGGUAUAUGUCUUCGGAUAUAGAGACCGGCGCACGGGUGCGUAACGCGUAUGCAAUCUACCUUUUACAGGGGAAUAGCCCCAGAGAAAUUUGGAUUAAUGCCCCAUAGUAUAAUUGAAUGGCAUCAUUUAAUUAUUAAAGUCACAACGGUAAAAGAUGAGCAUGCGUCCCAUUAGUUAGUUGGUAAGGUAACGGCUUACCAAGACAAUGAUGGGUAGGGGUCCCUGAGAGGGAGAUCCCCCACACUGGUACUGAGACACGGACCAGACUCCUACGGGAGGCAGCAGUGAGGAAUAUUGGACAAUGGGCGCAAGCCUGAUCCAGCCAUGCCGCGUGCAGGAAGACGGUCCUAUGGAUUGUAAACUGCUUUUAUACAGGAAGAAACACUCCGACGUGUCGGAGCUUGACGGUACUGUAGGAAUAAGGAUCGGCUAACUCCGUGCCAGCAGCCGCGGUAA